RNAcentral lists this transfer RNA (74 nucleotides) under Patescibacteria group bacterium. RNAcentral describes it as "tRNA-Gln". It matches the Rfam family "tRNA". From Rfam's summary of the family: Transfer RNA (tRNA) molecules are approximately 80 nucleotides in length. Their secondary structure includes four short double-helical elements and three loops (D, anti-codon, and T loops). Further hydrogen bonds mediate the characteristic L-shaped molecular structure. tRNAs have two regions of fundamental functional importance: the anti-codon, which is responsible for specific mRNA codon recognition, and the 3' end, to which the tRNAs corresponding amino acid is attached (by aminoacyl-tRNA synthetases). tRNAs cope with the degeneracy of the genetic code in two manners: having more than one tRNA (with a specific anti-codon) for a particular amino acid; and 'wobble' base-pairing, i.e. permitting non-standard base-pairing at the 3rd anti-codon position. RNAcentral also lists the same sequence under 1 other name. The record is from RNAcentral.
UCCCGGAUCGUCUAAAGGCAGGACAGCUGACUCUGGAUCAGCUAAUCGGGGUUCGAAUCCCUGUCCGGGAACCA